GCGGCCUUGGCGCAGCUGGUUGACGCGAUCGGUUUAGGUCCGGUUUGUCCGUUUGGACUAGGUGGGUUCGAGUCCCACAGGCCGCA
RNAcentral lists this transfer RNA (86 nucleotides) under Streptomyces sp. SID10853. RNAcentral's name for it is "tRNA-Leu". It matches the Rfam family "tRNA". From Rfam's summary of the family: Transfer RNA (tRNA) molecules are approximately 80 nucleotides in length. Their secondary structure includes four short double-helical elements and three loops (D, anti-codon, and T loops). The record is from RNAcentral. Lineage: Bacteria; Bacillati; Actinomycetota; Actinomycetes; Kitasatosporales; Streptomycetaceae. RNAcentral also lists the same sequence under 4 other names.